CCAAUAGCGUAUAUUAAAGUUGCUGCAGUUAAAAAGCUCGUAGUUGAAUUUCGGGACUAAUAUGUCGGUCGUGCCUCGGUACGUACUGGUUUAUUGGUUUCUCCUUUCUGAAGAACCAUGAUGUCAUUUAUUUGGUGUCGUGGGGAAUCAGGACUGUUACUUUGAAAAAAUUAGAGUGUUUAAAGCAGGCUCACGCUUGAAUACAUUAGCAUGGAAUAAUGAAAUAGGACGUUUGAUUCUAUUUUGUUGGUUUCUAGGAUCGACGUAGUGAUUAAUAGGGAUAGUUGGGGGCAUGAGUAUUAAAUUGUCAGAGGUGAAAUUCUUGGAUUUAUUGAAGACUAACUACUGCGAAAGCAUUUGCCAAGGAUGUUUUCAUUAAUCAAGAACGAAAGUUAGGGGAUCGAAGACGAUCAGAUACCGUCGUAGUCUUAACCAUAAACUAUGCCGACUAGGGAUCGGAUGAUGUUAAUUUUUUAAUGACUCAUUCGGCGCCUUACG
Molecule: ribosomal RNA, 498 nt
Filed under: uncultured Glomeromycotina
Lineage: Eukaryota; Fungi; Glomeromycota
Description: partial small subunit ribosomal RNA
Rfam family: Eukaryotic small subunit ribosomal RNA
Source: RNAcentral